This is a long non-coding RNA of Dermochelys coriacea (leatherback sea turtle), 281 nucleotides long. RefSeq lists it as uncharacterized. The transcript is spliced from 2 exons. The record is from RefSeq and is a predicted model, not a curated record. NCBI's taxonomy places the organism in Eukaryota, Metazoa, Chordata, Testudines, Dermochelyidae.
GGAGUAUUUAUCAGUAUGGUGUGCACUCGCAUUUGCUUCAAGCUGCCAGUUGAUAUUUAUCAAUGUCAGAGCUGUGAGAAGAGAAAAUAAAGGCAUUUUCAAGGCAUCUUCUGGCCAUUCAAGAAGACUUAUAUUGGCCUUCUGAAACUCUCCAAAGAACAAAGAAACAAACCCCCAACUUGCAUGGAUUAAUCACAAAUAUUUUCAUUCAUGACUCUCAAAAGGCCUUUCAACUAUGAAGUGGUGACAACUACCUAUAUAAUAAAUAUGCAUGAACAUGA